RNAcentral lists this ribosomal RNA (729 nucleotides) under uncultured eukaryote. RNAcentral's name for it is "SSU rRNA". It matches the Rfam family "Eukaryotic small subunit ribosomal RNA", at positions 670 to 1426 of the family's 1831-position model. The record is from RNAcentral.
CGCGUGUACUGGUCCGGCCGGGCCUUUCCCUCUGUGGAACCCCAUGCCCUUCACUGGGCGUGGCGGGGAAACAGGACUUUUACUGUGAAAAAAUUAGAGUGCUCCAGGCAGGCCUAUGCUCGAAUACAUUAGCAUGGAAUAAUAGAAUAGGACGUGUGGUUCUAUUUUGUUGGUUUCUAGGACCGCCGUAAUGAUUAAUAGGGACAGUCGGGGGCAUCAGUAUUCAAUUGUCAGAGGUGAAAUUCUUGGAUUUAUUGAAGACUAACUACUGCGAAAGCAUUUGCCAAGGAUGUUUUCAUUAAUCAGGAACGAAAGUUAGGGGAUCGAAGACGAUCAGAUACCGUCGUAGUCUUAACCAUAAACUAUGCCGACUAGGGAUCGGACGAUGUUAUUUUUUGACUCGUUCGGCACCUUACGAGAAAUCAAAGUGCUUGGGCUCCAGGGGGAGUAUGGUCGCAAGGCUGAAACUUAAAGAAAUUGACGGAAGGGCACCACCAGGGGUGGAGCCUGCGGCUUAAUUUGACUCAACACGGGGAAACUCACCAGGUCCAGACACAAUGAGGAUUGACAGAUUGAGAGCUCUUUCUUGAUUUUGUGGGUGGUGGUGCAUGGCCGUUCUUAGUUGGUGGAGUGAUUUGUCUGCUUAAUUGCGAUAACGAACGAGACCUUAACCUGCUAAAUAGCCCGUAUUGCUUUGGCAGUACGCUGGCUUCUUAGAGGGACUAUCGG